CUACGGGGCGCAGCAGUGGGGAAUAUUGGACAAUGGGGGAAACCCUGAUCCAGCAAUGCCGCGUGUGUGAAGAAGGCCUGCGGGUUGUAAAGCACUUUCGGUUGGGAGGACUGCUUCUAGCACUAAUAUUGUUGGAAGUUGACGUUACCUUCAGAAGAAGCACCGGCUAACUCCGUGCCAGCAGCCGCGGUAAUACGGGAGGGUGCAAGCGUUAAUCGGAAUUACUGGGCGUAAAGCGCGCGUAGGCGGCUAGAUCAGUGGGGUGUGAAAGCCCCGGGCUUAACCUGGGAACUGCAUCCGAUACUGGCUAGCUUGAGUACAGGAGAGGAGAGUGGAAUUCCACAUGUAGCGGUGAAAUGCGUAGAUAUGUGGAGGAACACCAAUGGCGAAGGCAGCUCUCUGGCCUGAUACUGACGCUGAGGUGCGAAAGCGUGGGGAGCAAACAGGAUUAGAUACCCCCGUAGUC
This 466-nucleotide ribosomal RNA is filed under the name uncultured bacterium. RNAcentral's name for it is "partial 16S ribosomal RNA". It matches the Rfam family "Bacterial small subunit ribosomal RNA", at positions 339 to 795 of the family's 1533-position model. The record is from RNAcentral.